This 301-nucleotide ribosomal RNA is filed under the name uncultured bacterium. RNAcentral's name for it is "partial 16S ribosomal RNA". It matches the Rfam family "Bacterial small subunit ribosomal RNA", at positions 509 to 808 of the family's 1533-position model. The record is from RNAcentral.
CAGUCGCCACGGUAAUACGGAGGGUGCAAGCGUUAAUCGGAAUUACUGGGCGUAAAGCGCACGCAGGCGGUCUGUCAAGUCAGAUGUGAAAUCCCCGGGCUUAACCUGGGAACUGCAUUUGAAACUGGCAGGCUAGAGUCUUGUAGAGGGGGGUAGAAUUCCAGGUGUAGCGGUGAAAUGCGUAGAGAUCUGGAGGAAUACCGGUGGCGAAGGCGGCCCCCUGGACAAAGACUGACGCUCAGGUGCGAAAGCGUGGGGAGCAAACAGGAUUAGAUACCCAGUAGUCCCUGUCUCUUAUACC